RNAcentral lists this ribosomal RNA (424 nucleotides) under Fusobacteriota bacterium. Its description in RNAcentral is "Fusobacteria bacterium partial 16S ribosomal RNA". It matches the Rfam family "Bacterial small subunit ribosomal RNA", at positions 355 to 776 of the family's 1533-position model. Lineage: Bacteria; Fusobacteriati; Fusobacteriota. The record is from RNAcentral.
UGAGGAAUAUUGGUCAAUGGGCGAGAGCCUGAACCAGCCAAGUAGCGUGCAGGAUGACGGCCCUAUGGGUUGUAAACUGCUUUUAUGUGGGGAUAAAGUGCGUGACGUGUCAUGCAUUGCAGGUACCACAUGAAUAAGGACCGGCUAAUUCCGUGCCAGCAGCCGCGGUAAUACGGAAGGUCCGGGCGUUAUCCGGAUUUAUUGGGUUUAAAGGCAGCGUAGGCUGUCUAUUAAGCGUGUUGUGAAAUUUACCGGCUCAACCGGUGGCUUGCAGCGCGAACUGGUCGACUUGAGUAUGCAGGAAGUAGGCGGAAUUCAUGGUGUAGCGGUGAAAUGCUUAGAUAUCAUGACGAACUCCGAUUGCGCAGGCAGCUUACUGUAGCAUAACUGACGCUGAUGCUCGAAAGUGCGGGUAUCAAACAGG